Molecule: unclassified non-coding RNA, 329 nt
Filed under: soil metagenome
Description: partial contains 5.8S ribosomal RNA, internal transcribed spacer 2, and large subunit ribosomal RNA
Rfam family: 5.8S ribosomal RNA (bases 1-120)
Source: RNAcentral
GAUGAAGAACGUAGCGAAAUGCGAUAAGUAAUGUGAAUUGCAGAAUUCAGUGAAUCAUCGAGUCUUUGAACGCACAUUGCGCCCCCUGGCAUUCCGGGGGGCAUGCCUGUCCGAGCGUCAUUACAACCCUCAAGCUCAGCUUGGUGUUGGGCCCCGCCGCCCCGGCGGGCCCUAAAGUCAGUGGCGGUGCCGUCCGGCUCCGAGCGUAGUAAUUCUUCUCGCUCUGGAGGUCCGGUCGUGUGCUCGCCAGCAACCCCCAAUUUUUUUCAGGUUGACCUCGGAUCAGGUAGGGAUACCCGCUGAACUUAAGCAUAUCAAUAAGCGGAGGA